This 1365-nucleotide ribosomal RNA is filed under the name uncultured bacterium. Its description in RNAcentral is "bacterial SSU rRNA". It matches the Rfam family "Bacterial small subunit ribosomal RNA", at positions 28 to 1381 of the family's 1533-position model. The record is from RNAcentral.
GACGAACGCUGGCGGCGUGCUUAACACAUGCAAGCCGAACGGAAAGGCCCUCACCUUGGUGGGGGUGCUCGAGUGGCGAACGGGUGAGUAACACGUGGGUGAUCUGCCCUGUACUUCGGGAUAAGCUUGGGAGACUGGGUCUAAUACCGGAUAGGACCAUGGUUUAGUGUCUCAUGGUGGAAAAAUUAUUGUUUUGGUGCAGGAUGAGCUCGCGGCCUAUCAGCUUGUUGGUGGGGUAAUGGCCUACCAAGGCGUCGACGGGUAGCCGGCCUGAGAGGGUGGACGGCCACAUUGGGACUGAGAUACGGCCCAGACUCCUACGGGAGGCAGCAGUGGGGAAUAUUGCACAAUGGGCGCAAGCCUGAUGCAGCGACGCCGCGUGGGGGAUGACGGCCUUCGGGUUGUAAACUCCUUUCGUUAGGGACGAAGCCACACUUUUUUUGGGUGUGGUGACGGUACCUUUGUUAAGAAGCACCGGCUAACUACGUGCCAGCAGCCGCGGUAAUACGUAGGGUGCGAGCGUUGUCCGGAAUUACUGGGCGUAAAGAGCUCGUAGGUGGUUUGUUGCGUCGUCUGUGAAAUUCCGGGGCUUAACUUCGGGGUGGCAGGCGAUACGGGCAUAACUAGAGUGCUGUAGGGGAGACUGGAAUUCCUGGUGUAGCGGUGGAAUGCGCAGAUAUCAGGAGGAACACCGAUGGCGAAGGCAGGUCUCUGGGCAGUAACUGACGCUGAGGAGCGAAAGCAUGGGGAGCGAACAGGAUUAGAUACCCUGGUAGUCCAUGCUGUAAACGGUGGGCGUUAGGUGUGGGGACCGGUUUGGUUUCUGUGCCGUAGCUAACGCAUUAAGCGCCCCGCCUGGGGAGUACGGCCGCAAGGCUAAAACUCAAAGGAAUUGACGGGGGCCCGCACAAGCGGCGGAGCAUGUGGAUUAAUUCGAUGCAACGCGAAGAACCUUACCUGGGUUUGACAUGCACCAGACGGUUGUAGAGAUACGUACCUCCCUUUGUGGUUGGUGUGCAGGUGGUGCAUGGUUGUCGUCAGCUCGUGUCGUGAGAUGUUGGGUUAAGUCCCGCAACGAGCGCAACCCUUGUCUUAUGUUGCCAGCACGUUUGGGUGGGGACUCAUGAGAGACUGCCGGGGUUAACUCGGAGGAAGGUGGGGAUGACGUCAAAUCAUCAUGCCCUUUAUGCCCAGGGCUUCACACAUGCUACAAUGGUUAGUACAACGCGCGGCGAGCCUGUGAGGGUGAGCGAAUCGCUGAAAGCUAAUCUCAGUUCGGAUUGGGGUCUGCAACUCGACCCCAUGAAGUCGGAGUCGCUAGUAAUCGCAGAUCAGCAAUGCUGCGGUGAAUACGUUCCCGGGCCU